This 236-nucleotide unclassified non-coding RNA is filed under the name Hevea brasiliensis (rubber tree). The record is from RNAcentral. Lineage: Eukaryota; Viridiplantae; Streptophyta; Magnoliopsida; Malpighiales; Euphorbiaceae.
CUUCUUGGUGUGUUUGGUUUGAUUUGGGCUUUCUACAGUGUCUACACUUCAACUCUUGAAGAAGAUGAUGAUUCUGCUUUGUCCCUCUAAGAAAGCAAGGGCUUCUCUUCCACUGUAACAAAUGUAUGAAAUAGCUUGGAAAUUGAAGGGGGGAACAUGGGUGUCUCUCUGUAUCAAUGCUUUAACGUUUUCCUUAAUCGCACAAUAAUAAUUAUUGUUAUUAUUAUUUCCUUUAA